GAUGAAGAACGCAGCGAAAUGCGAUAAGUAAUGUGAAUUGCAGAAUUCAGUGAAUCAUCGAAUCUUUGAACGCACAUUGCGCCCGCCAGUAUUCUGGCGGGCAUGCCUGUCUGAGCGUCAUUUCAACCCUCAUGCCCCUAGGGCGUGGUGUUGGGGAUCGGCCAAAGCCCGCGAGGGACGGCCGGCCCCUAAAUCUAGUGGCGGACCCGUCGUGGCCUCCUCUGCGAAGUAGUGAUAUUCCGCAUCGGAGAGCGAUGAGCCCCUGCCGUUAAACCCCCAACUUUCCAAGGUUGACCUCAGAUCAGGUAGGAAUACCGGCUGAACUUAAGCAUAUCAAUAAGCGGAGGA
RNAcentral lists this unclassified non-coding RNA (348 nucleotides) under soil metagenome. Its description in RNAcentral is "partial contains 5.8S ribosomal RNA, internal transcribed spacer 2, and large subunit ribosomal RNA". The stretch from base 1 to 120 matches the Rfam family "5.8S ribosomal RNA", at positions 35 to 154 of the family's 154-position model. The record is from RNAcentral.